CCGAAAGGCGUGGCAUACGGCUCAGUAACACGUAGUCAACAUGCCCAAAGGACGUGGAUAACCUCGGGAAACUGAGGAUAAACCACGAUAGGCCAAGGUUUCUGGAAUGAGCCAUGGCCGAAAUCUAUAUGGCCUUUGGAUUGGACUGCGGCCGAUCAGGCUGUUGGUGAGGUAAUGGCCCACCAAACCUGUAACCGGUACGGGCUUUGAGAGAAGGAGCCCGGAGAUGGGCACUGAGACAAGGGCCCAGGCCCUAUGGGGCGCAGCAGGCGCGAAACCUCUGCAAUAGGCGAAAGCUUGACAGGGUUACUCUGAGUGAUGCCCGCUAAGGGUAUCUUUUGGCACCUCUAAAAAUGGUGCAGAAUAAGGGGUGGGCAAGUCUGGUGUCAGCCGCCGCGGUAAUACCAGCACCCCCGAGUUGUCGGGACGAUUAUUGGGCCUAAAGCAUCCGUAGCCUGUUCUGCAAGUCCUCCGUUAAAUCCACCUGCUCAACGGAUGGGCUGCGGAGGAUACCGCAGAGCUAGGAGGCGGGAGAGGCAAACGGUACUCAGUGGGUAGGGGUAAAAUCCUUAUUACUGAAAGACCACCAGUGGCGAAGGCGGUUUGCCAGAACGCGCUCGACGGUGAGGGAUGAAAGCUGGGGGAGCAAACCGGAUUAGAUACCCGGGUAGUCCCAGCUGUAAACGAUGCAGACUCGGUGAUGGGUUGGC
Molecule: ribosomal RNA, 710 nt
Filed under: uncultured archaeon
Lineage: Archaea
Description: bacterial SSU rRNA
Rfam family: Archaeal small subunit ribosomal RNA
Source: RNAcentral